CGAACGCUGGCGGCGUGCUUAACACAUGCAAGUCGAACGGAAAGGCCCUGCUUUUGUGGGGUGCUCGAGUGGCGAACGGGUGAGUAACACGUGAGUAACCUGCCCUUGACUUUGGGAUAACUUCAGGAACCUGGGGCUAAUACCGGAUAGGAGCUCCUGCUGCAUGGUGGGGGUUGGAAAGUUUCGGCGGUUGGGGAUGGACUCGCGGCUUAUCAGCUUGUUGGUGGGGUAGUGGCUUACCAAGGCUUUGACGGGUAGCCGGCCUGAGAGGGUGACCGGCCACAUUGGGACUGAGAUACGGCCCAGACUCCUACGGGAGGCAGCAGUGGGGAAUAUUGCACAAUGGGCGGAAGCCUGAUGCAGCAACGCCGCGUGCGGGAUGACGGCCUUCGGGUUGUAAACCGCUUUCGCCUGUGACGAAGCGUGAGUGACGGUAAUGGGUAAAGAAGCACCGGCUAACUACGUG
RNAcentral lists this ribosomal RNA (466 nucleotides) under uncultured bacterium. Its description in RNAcentral is "partial 16S ribosomal RNA". It matches the Rfam family "Bacterial small subunit ribosomal RNA", at positions 30 to 507 of the family's 1533-position model. The record is from RNAcentral.